UAGAGCUCCAUAGGCAUCUUCGGGAUAAAGAAGGACCCAACCUACAGGAAAAGAUGAAGAAUCAGAUCCGUCAGUGGUUCAUCGAGUGUCAUGACCUUACCGGCCAGUUCCCUGAAUAUCCCGAUGAAGAGAUAGGUGGUUCUGAAGUCAUCUAUUCAGACAAGACCCCGCUAGAGUUGAAAACAGAAAUGGACCAGGUGGAAGAUGAAAAUGCCAAAAAGAAGGGGAAAGAAAA
Molecule: long non-coding RNA, 235 nt
Organism: Gracilinanus agilis (Agile Gracile Mouse Opossum)
Lineage: Eukaryota; Metazoa; Chordata; Mammalia; Didelphimorphia; Didelphidae
Exons: 3
Source: RefSeq, a predicted model, not a curated record